RNAcentral lists this long non-coding RNA (633 nucleotides) under Nicotiana benthamiana. RNAcentral's name for it is "long non-coding RNA (NBEN_LNC019851)". The record is from RNAcentral. Lineage: Eukaryota; Viridiplantae; Streptophyta; Magnoliopsida; Solanales; Solanaceae.
CAAAGGUCUUUUAUUUUUGUACAGUAUGAUAUUACAGAAUCAGUACCUUAUUUUAAAGAUCCAAUUUAUAUCUACAUGAUAUAAAAUCGAGUGAGAUUAGAUUUGUCAAACCUCUCUUUGAAUUCACUCCACACUAACUUUGCGUUGAAUGCAUAAAUAAUGAUUGGUUGUAAUUUUGCAGAAUGCGUCCUAUCCAUAGAAGAACAACUGGAUUAUACAUUUUUCCUUAAUUCGUCAAUUCUCCUUUGUAAGAGCUUUUCAAGCAGGUUCUUUCUAUGAACCCUAGCUUGUCUUUCACCAGAAGUGCCAUGCGUAUUGAUCUAUUUCACAAAUCAUAAUUUUCAAGUAUGGUGAGCUUAAUAUCAUGCAAUGCAACUCCAGAUGUGUCUAUAGCAGCUAAAAAUAGAGGAUGAUUCUGAUCAAUUUGAAGAUUUGCCGCUUACCCAUGGCUUACUGACUCGAGCUCUAACAAUGUCCGUUGUUCAGAUAUUAUAUAAUUUCGUCUCAAUUUCCAAUUACCCCAUUUUAUGCCAUGACAGAAUCUGAAUUGCAUGCACAAACGAAGAUCCAAAAGGAAGAAUCUGGAAGACUCAAAGAAUUGAGAGAAAGGAGAAGAAAUUGAUUUUCUACACC